GACAGAGGCCCCAAGCGUUAGGCGGAAUCACUGGGCUUAAAGCGUGUGUAGGCGGACUUCUAAGUGCCUUGUGAAAUCCCACGGCUCAACCGUGGAACUGCUGGGCAUACUGGGGAGUCUUGGGCCAUUCAGGGGGCAACUGGAACAAGCGGUGGAGCGGUGAAAUGCGUAGAUAUCGCUUGGAACGCCGAAGGUGAAAACAGGUUGCUGGGGAUGUGCCGACGCUGAGACACGAAAGCCAGGGGAGCAAACGGG
This 255-nucleotide ribosomal RNA is filed under the name uncultured bacterium. RNAcentral describes it as "partial 16S ribosomal RNA". It matches the Rfam family "Bacterial small subunit ribosomal RNA", at positions 524 to 776 of the family's 1533-position model. The record is from RNAcentral.